Molecule: ribosomal RNA, 252 nt
Filed under: uncultured bacterium
Lineage: Bacteria
Description: partial 16S ribosomal RNA
Rfam family: Bacterial small subunit ribosomal RNA
Source: RNAcentral
CGGGUGAGUAACGCGUGGGCAACCUGCCUUACACAGGGGGAUAACACGUUAGAAAUACGGUGCUAAUACCGCAUAAGCGCACAGCUUUGCAUGAAGCAGUGUGAAAAACUCCGGUGUGUAAGAUGGACCCGCGUCUGAUUAGCUGGUUGGCAGGGUAAAGGCCUACCAAGGCGACGAUCAGUAGCCGGCCUGAGAGGGUGAACGGCCACAUUGGGACUGAGACACGGCCCAGACUCCUACGGAAGGCAGCAG